RNA transcript from Notolabrus celidotus (New Zealand spotty), 3820 nucleotides. It is a transcript of the gene named actin-binding LIM protein 1-like, with no coding region annotated. The transcript is spliced from 23 exons. The record is from RefSeq and is a predicted model, not a curated record. NCBI's taxonomy places the organism in Eukaryota, Metazoa, Chordata, Actinopteri, Labriformes, Labridae.
GAUCGAUGCAUACCAAUGAAGGCAGGCAGGCAGCACCAACACAUGCAGAGGGGUCGAUAUUCCCUUAGCGUGGAAACAGAAAUCAAUAAGUUCACUUGAAGUGUAAAAAGCAAGUAUUGGAACCCGAUCAGCCUCCCAGAUGUGCUCUGUGGAAAAGUAGUGACAACAAUCUCUCAUGCUGACAGCUGCUGAAACCCUGAUGGGAGCUUUUUCCUCUCCUGCAAAGUGUCUCUGCUUCAGGAUCAAGUCCACGUGAUGCACAGAUUACCAUGCAUUAUUCUUAAAGUACCCGGAUUAAUGGAUCAAAACUGGAAUAAAGACACUAACGUGGAUUUCUCCUGAGUGUCUGACAACUUUAUGAUUCAGGCUGCAGAACAGCAGAGUCAUCCACACAGAGUGGGUGAGAUCCCCUUUAAGGCGAGGAGGGACCAGCUCUGCAGGACUGGACUUCCGAGAAGGAUUUACCUCUGAUAUCUUUAUAAUUCUGUGGUAUGAUGUCCAGACCUGGACCUGGACUUGUUGUAAAAAGAAGAGGAUGCUGUCUGAUCCAGGACACGCCCUGUCGCUGAAAGUGCUCUCUCCAUCGCGCAGUCUGGUCUGGUCUGGUCUACCUAAUCGCAGGCUGAAUGUGUCCCCGUGUUUAAUCCCUAUAGCUGAAAACUUCAGGUCCACAUAAAGACCAGGCUGUGACCUGGUCCUGUCCUCCCCCUGUGAGAGCCGCUCCGGACCAGCUCCUCCUGUGGAUCUCUGCAAAGACAGAAAGAGAGGCUCUACCUACCGGGCAUGUCUGCUAGAGUGGCUCAUGCGCAGGACACACACCACCACUCCGCAGAGAAGCCCCUGAUCCAGUGCUACAAGUGUGCGCAGCCAUGUAAGGGCGAGGUGCUGCGGGUGCAGAACAAGCACUUCCACCUCAAGUGCUUCACCUGUAAAGUGUGCGGCUGUGACCUCGCCCAGGGGGGCUUCUUCAUGAAGAAUGGAGAGUAUCUGUGCACGCUGGACUACCAACGCAUGCACGGCACCCGCUGCAAUGGCUGCGGGGACUUUGUGGAGGGUGAAGUGGUCACGGCUCUCGGGAAGACCUACCACCCUGCCUGCUUUGUCUGCACCAUCUGCAAACGACCGUUCCCUGCCGGGGACAGGGUGACCUUUAAUGGGAAGGACUGUCUGUGUCAGUACUGUGUCGAGCCCAUGUCUCCAGGGCCAAAGGACAUCCUGGGCUCCAGCAACUGUGCAGGAUGCGGCAGAGACAUCAAGAACGGACAGGCUCUGCUGGCGUUGGACAAACAGUGGCAUCUCGGAUGCUUCAAGUGCAAGGCCUGCAGCAAAGUGCUAACCGGGGAGUACAUCAGCAAGGAUGGCGCCCCCUACUGUGAGAAGGACUACCAGAUCCAUUUUGGAGUUCAGUGUGAGGCGUGUCAUCAGUUCAUCACAGGGAAGGUGCUAGAGGCAGGAGAUAAGCACUACCACCCCAGCUGUGCGAGAUGCAGCCGGUGCAAUCAGAUGUUCACGGAAGGAGAGGAGAUGUAUCUGCAAGGAUCGACGGUCUGGCAUCCCGGCUGCAAAAACACGACCCGGACGGAGGAGCGGCACAGGGAGCGGCCUACGAGGUCGUCGUCCGAGAGUAUUUGUUCCAGACCUGGUUCAAGCAUACCUGGCUCACCGGGUCACACCAUCUAUGCAAAAGUAGACAAUGAGAUCCUUGAUUACAGAGACCUAGCUGCCAUUCCCAAAGUCAAAGCCAUUUAUGACAUUGAGCGCCCCGAUCUUAUUACCUAUGAACCUUUGUACUCCACCUCCCUGGAUGAGAGAGACGAGAGACAAGAGAGUGUGGGAGAGCUCCACACUGCCAGGAGGGAGCGUUCCCCCUUACCUGACGACAAGUCCUCAAGAAACAUGUCGCCGACUCCGCCGGGUGAGGGCUCUUACGACAGGAGGGAACGCAUCCUCCAGAGGUCCACCAGUCAGGGCUCCAUAGGCUCACCUGUGUAUAAUCGACAUGGUUACACCCCCACCUUGUCACGGUCACCUCAGCAUUUCCACCGGCCAGAGGCUCUGACAGGCAUGCAGAAGCUCUGCUCCUCCCUGUGCAGUAACAGUGUGGGCUCCAGAAAUAGUGACUCCCGCCCCACCUCCCCUUUCAGACACCACUUCCUCCCCCAUAGCCAAGGCACCGACCCGCCGAGUGGCCGGAGCUCCCCUCUCCCGCUCAGGCCCGACAGCCGGCCGGUCACCCCGCCUCUCUCUCAGACCCCUAAACAUUUCCACCUCCCAGAUCAGGGGAGCAACAUCUACAGAAAACCUCCCAUCUACAAACUGCACGGUCCAGAAGGGAGGAGGCGGUCCAGAGAAGACGAGGAGGAAGAGGCCUUGAAAAGAAAGCAGCUCCAGGAGGAACAUCUCAGUAAGAUUCAGUCCGGUCUGGGGAAGCUCAUCCUGAAGGAGGAGAUGGAGAAAGACCAGAUCAGGGAGCGUCACGCACGAAGCCUCUCCGCUCAGCGAUACGACCCCAAACAGACCAACUGUGACGCAGAUCCAACUUCUCCAACCAAAACGAACUCUCUGCCCGGAUACGGGAGGAACGGGCUGCAUCGGCCCCAGUCGACAGAUUUCACUCAGUACAACAGCUACGGGGACAUGUGUGGAGGAGGCCGAGCACAUUAAGGAUGGCCGUGCAGCACUUGCAAGGAUGGACAGGGGAGUAUCUAUGCCUAAUAUGUUGGAACCAAAAGUGUACCCCUAUGAAAUGCUCAUGAUAACCAGUAGAGGGAGAGCUAAACUGCCCAGGGAUGUGGACAGAACCAGACUGGAGCGCCACUUAGCACCCGAAACGUUCUUUGACAUCUUUGGAAUGGAGAUCCAGGAGUUUGACAGGCUUCCCCUGUGGAAACGCAACGACAUGAAAAAGAAGGCCAAGCUCUUCUAGCGCUCAGAGCAGCAUGCACAUACUGUACAUUCAUCAGAUAGCACACAACAACUGUACUCUAGAUGUAGGUUUUUUGGUUGAUUUCCUUUUCUUCUGGACUUUUCUUUGUAUCCUGGAGUAAUGAAGGAAGCUUGGACUGGACUCUUUUUGCUUCCUGAGACUGUGAGCUGGAGGAUUUUUACAGAUAGACUGCACAGAAACACGAACGGGGAACUCUUCCAUGUUCAAAAAUGACAAAGAAUGAGAGUGAAUGAAACGAGGCUCAUGUUCUUGGUUUGCUUGUUUUUCUUCUUGCUUUGCUUUCUUUGGGUGGAACUGCUUUCCUUUCUUUCUUGCUUGUUUCUUCCUACUCUUUGUUGCUGAUGAUUCCUGUGGAACUUUGUAAGUACAUUAGAAACCUCAUGGCGCCAUUAUGAAAUGUCCAUGCUCGUAGCUUGAACAUGUGUCGGCUUUCCUUCGCUUGGGCUGAAGCUGUUUUAGUCCAAAGUUUGCAACAAUCGGCUCAGUGAGUCUUUGAAUUGAUUAAAAAAAAAACUAAGCCGGUGGGGAAGCAGUCAGCUGACCCAUCAACCGUUUCAUGGAUCAACAUGGAAAUGAAUCAUCCAGGCACCCAUACAUCAUCAGUCUCCUCCCCCCCGCUGACUGUACACGCCAAACAUCCAUCCGACCCCGACUUAAAGAAAACGUCUCUCUUCUCAGGCUCCCAUAAACACGGCCACUCUUUCCCUUUAUGUAUUGGAAUUACAAAUCUUAAUAUAUUUUAUCCGACGUACAGUAACCGACCGGUAGAUCAAACACUUCAGAAGUAUUUGAAAGUACUGUUUUAUAAAUGAAACCCACACUGCCAUUUGUUGUAUUGAAAUCUAAGCCAAUAAAGCUUUAAAUCACCAUGAA